RNAcentral lists this ribosomal RNA (721 nucleotides) under uncultured eukaryote. Its description in RNAcentral is "bacterial SSU rRNA". It matches the Rfam family "Eukaryotic small subunit ribosomal RNA", at positions 683 to 1399 of the family's 1831-position model. The record is from RNAcentral.
GGGUAGGUGGGCCCUGCUGCUCCUCACCUUCUGGAAUGCAAAGGCUUCCGUCUUUGUCUGAACCGACUUUUACUUUGAAGAAAUUAGAGUGUUUAAAGCAGGCUUGCCCUUGAAUACAUUAGCAUGGAAUAAUAGAAUAGGACUUUGGUCUUAUUUUGUUGGUUUGAAGACCAAAGUAAUGAUUAAUAGGGACAGUUGGGGGCAUUAUUAUUCAGUAGUCACAGGUGAAAUUCUUGGAUUUACUGAACACUAACUAGUGCUAAAGCAUUUGCCAAGGAUGUUUUCAUUAAUCAAGAACGAAAGUUAGGGGAUCGAAGACGAUUAGAUACCGUCGUAAUCUUAACCAUAAACUAUGCCGACCAGGGAUUGGGAGACUUUACAUGGAUGACUCCCCCAGCACCUUGCGAGAAAUCACGAGUCUUUGGGUUCCGGGGGGAGUAUGGUCGCAAGGCUGAAACUUAAAGGAAUUGACGGAAGGGCACCACCAGGAGUGGAGCCUGGGGCUUAAUUUGACUCAACACGGAGCAACUUACCAGGUCCAGACAUAGUAAGGAUAGACAGACAGAGACCUCUUUCUUGAUUAUAUGGGGGGUGGUACAUGUCUGUUGUUAGUUGGGGGAGUGAUUCAUGUGGUUAAUUCGGUUAAGGAACGAGACCUCAGCCAAUUAAAUAGUUACGUGAAUCGUCUGCAUAUGGGGAGAAGGGGGUGUUCAAUGGACGG